RNAcentral lists this ribosomal RNA (303 nucleotides) under uncultured bacterium. RNAcentral describes it as "partial 16S ribosomal RNA". It matches the Rfam family "Bacterial small subunit ribosomal RNA", at positions 507 to 807 of the family's 1533-position model. The record is from RNAcentral.
AGCAGUCGCCACGGUAAUACAGAGGGUGCGAGCGUUAAUCGGAUUUACUGGGCGUAAAGCAUGCGUAGGCGGCUUUUUAAGUCGGAUGUGAAAUCCCUGAGCUUAACUUAGGAAUUGCAUUCGAUACUGGGAAGCUAGAGUAUGGGAGAGGAUGGUAGAAUUCCAGGUGUAGCGGUGAAAUGCGUAGAGAUCUGGAGGAAUACCGAUGGCGAAGGCAGCCAUCUGGCCUAAUACUGACGCUGAGGUACGAAAGCAUGGGGAGCAAACAGGAUUAGAUACCCCAGUAGUCCCUGUCUCUUAUAC